UACGUAGGGUGCAAGCGUUAAUCGGAAUUACUGGGCGUAAAGCGCACGUAGGCGGAUUGGUCAGUUAGAGGUGAAAUCCCAGGGCUCAACCCUGGAACUGCCUUUAAUACUGCCGGUCUUGAGUUCGAGAGAGGUGAGUGGAAUUCCGAGUGUAGAGGUGAAAUUCGUAGAUAUUCGGAGGAACACCAGUGGCGAAGGCGGCUCACUGGCUCGAUACUGACGCUGAGGUGCGAAAGCGUGGGGAGCAAACAGG
RNAcentral lists this ribosomal RNA (253 nucleotides) under uncultured Alphaproteobacteria bacterium. RNAcentral's name for it is "partial 16S ribosomal RNA". It matches the Rfam family "Bacterial small subunit ribosomal RNA", at positions 524 to 776 of the family's 1533-position model. Lineage: Bacteria; Pseudomonadati; Pseudomonadota; Alphaproteobacteria. The record is from RNAcentral.